ACUCCAAUUCUAGGUUCCAAAGGAAACCAGACUAAACCGGCGGUAUUAGUUAAACCUACUCUAAGAAUUCCUGAAUAACUCUUUAUUCUUAUUCCAAAACCAAUCAAAUCCAAGUCUUGCAACAAAAAUAACAUAACUCAAUUAAAUCCGAAUUAAAUAGGAAAUAUUUUCUUAAAGUGAUCUACGAAAUAGUUCUGAAAAACAAAUAAAACUUCCUCCAUCUCUGAAGGCACACCAUACUAGAGCUACUCCUCUAGUUCCUCCCAGACAUCUUCACAAUCACAAUCAUCACACUCACCUGCAAAUAUAAAUUUAAAGAGAGGGGUGAGUAAUUUGGGGAAGUACUAAGUAAGAACCAAACCAGACAGUUGACAAAAAAAAAAAAAAAAAAAAAACCAAACCAGACUCCCUUUCCACUCAAUUAUCAUUUUCCACCAACAUGACAAGUAUAAAUCUAACAAGCAACAGACCAGAACUCCACAAGUGCAUAAGCAACUAACAAGGAGGCGUCUCCAACAAGCGGUCAAACAGACAGGCUCAGUAGCAAUCACACAGACAGGCUCAAUAGCUGUCACACAGACAGGCUCUACAUAGCGGUCACACAGACAGGCAUGGUGGUUCGUCUAACCACCUAACGAUGAAUUAUUGUCACAGUCACACAGAUGGCACAUAAUCCAGCAACCUAAUCCGUACCCCGGCACACCUCAACCGAGACGAACACCUAAUAUACCUAUAUCUACCAAGUACUAACCACACAACAGGGUGAACAAUCAAGUAUGCUGGUUUUUCCUCUAAUGAGAGUCCUGAUCAUAUUAUUUAUAAAUAUAUAUGGAUCUAUCUAGAUAUGUAGGAAAACAUCCUGGACUUAUCAGAUCUAGACUCCGCACACCAGAAGAAGACAAAAGAAUAAGAAGAACAACCUACAUCUAAUCAUCACCUUAGCCAAAAUGCAGAUCUGAGUUACAGAGAGCUAGAAGCAAGGGAAUUAAGGAGCUUCUGGGAAGGAGGGGGCUGGCACGCACUCCUUCUCCAAUUGGCAGGCAGCAGCAGCAGCAAGGCUGAACAACUGCGGCGGCACCUGAUUCUCUCCUUCUCUUUUUUUCUUUUGG
Molecule: long non-coding RNA, 1109 nt
Filed under: Eutrema salsugineum
Lineage: Eukaryota; Viridiplantae; Streptophyta; Magnoliopsida; Brassicales; Brassicaceae
Description: long non-coding RNA (ESAL_LNC000946)
Source: RNAcentral